This 408-nucleotide ribosomal RNA is filed under the name uncultured bacterium. RNAcentral describes it as "partial 16S ribosomal RNA". It matches the Rfam family "Bacterial small subunit ribosomal RNA", at positions 28 to 526 of the family's 1533-position model. The record is from RNAcentral.
GACGAACGCUGGCGGCGUGCUUAACACAUGCAAGUCGAACGGAGUGGCGAACGGGUGAGUAACACGUGGGUGAUCUGCCUUGCACUUCGGGAUAAGCUUGGGAAACUGGGUCUAAUACCGGAUAGUGCAAGAUGAGCUCGCGGCCUAUCAGCUUGUGGGUGGGGUAAUGGCCUACCAAGGCGUCGACGGGUAGCCGGCCUGAGAGGGUGUACGGGCACAUUGGGACUGAGAUAGGGCCCAGGGUCGAACGGGGGGCAGCGGGGGGGAAUAUUGCACAAUGGGCGGGAGCGUGAUGCAGCGACGCCGCGGGGGGGAGGAAGGCCUUCGGGUUGUAAACUCCUUUAGACAGGGACGCGGUACCUGUAUAAGAAGCACCGGCUAACUACGUGCCAGCAGCCGCGGUAAUAC